AUGCCAGUCACCAAAAAUAAUUUAAAAGAUGAUUUAUUGGCGACCGGGAAACCAAAAUCAUCGACAAUAUAUGUUAACCGAUGUCGCAGUUCGAUGAUUUAUGGUGAAGGCGACCCCGUAGCUGCAGAUGUAGAAAUGAGUGAAUGUAGUCCAUCGGAUGUUCCUCUGCAAAUAGAAGAAAAUGUUUUAUUGAGAAACGUGACGGCUAAUCGAGGAAUGAUAUACCAAUUUAGCCUGUGGUAUAGCAAACAAUUCACAAUGCCUUUGUCGUAUUUAAUUGGAAUACCUCUUGGUUGGCUGUUACUUGGCACAUUUCAAUAUUUUGUGUGUAUCGUCAUUUUGGGUGACAGUUUCUUAGACCCAUGGUAUUUCACGUGUGCUUGGAUAGUGGAAGUAAUUUCUACGCUCCCAGUUAUUAUGAUUAUAACAAUCAUUAAGUGUCUGUACGUGCAAGUGGAAAUAUUGGAACAGUGUGAAAAAGUUACAUGGAUUGGUUUUACAUUUUUACUUUUUCAAGGGUUGGCCAUUAUAAUACUUUUGCUUCCAGUUAGCAAUUUAUUUAAGUACAUAUUUGGCGAUUUUUCACGACCGAUAAAUUUUUUUAUUUAUUGGAUGAUGUUAGCUUUUCCACACAUCAUGCUAUUAUGCUUUGCAACAUUUGGUUGUUGUUCAAAGAUGUUUAGAUCGUUUUCACAAUAUUUCCGUCAUGCUAAUAAUUGGAAAAAGCAUAGAACUAUACAAGUGCAUUUCGAAACAACUAAUCAGAGGCAAACGAUACAUAAUGAUAAAAAUAAUAUUGAACUACAAGAACUCAAUUACCAUCCAAUAAUUCGAAAUAAAUCAUAAUUAUCUAUAAUUUAAAACGUUAGUUAUGUUUUUUAUUAUUACAGCAAACAUAUAGCAGUGGUUUUACGCAGUGCGCAUUAUCUCACUAUAGAUAUACCUACCCGUCAUGGCCGUCAAGUUUAGAAAUCUACGAGUAAAAAAUAUUUCGUGCGCAGUCGCUGAAACACAUUAAUAUUGAAAUAGGCGAAUGUCGUGAACCGUCGAAAUGGAAACGCAGCUGUAACAGCGGUUUUUUGUAUUGACGUCAUUGUUCUACGUUCUUCUAGAACAUUCUAUAACACGGCGGCGGCGGCGCCCUCUCCACUUUGCGCAGACUCAUAAAUGCUGCCGCCCCACCGAUGGCCGUUCGCAGCCGACGCUCAUUGUUCAUACUCGUCCCACAA
Aphis gossypii (cotton aphid) is the source of this 1229-nucleotide RNA transcript. RefSeq lists it as uncharacterized. The record is from RefSeq and is a predicted model, not a curated record. NCBI's taxonomy places the organism in Eukaryota, Metazoa, Arthropoda, Insecta, Hemiptera, Aphididae. The transcript has 5 exons.